AGCAUAGCCAAGUGGAAAGGCAACGGUUUUUGAUAUCGUGAUACAAAGGUUCGAUUCCUUUUGCU
RNAcentral lists this transfer RNA (65 nucleotides) under Nematostella vectensis (starlet sea anemone). It matches the Rfam family "tRNA". Rfam says of the family: Transfer RNA (tRNA) molecules are approximately 80 nucleotides in length. Lineage: Eukaryota; Metazoa; Cnidaria; Anthozoa; Actiniaria; Edwardsiidae. The record is from Rfam by way of RNAcentral.